RNAcentral lists this ribosomal RNA (250 nucleotides) under uncultured bacterium. RNAcentral's name for it is "partial 16S ribosomal RNA". It matches the Rfam family "Bacterial small subunit ribosomal RNA", at positions 779 to 1032 of the family's 1533-position model. The record is from RNAcentral.
UAGAUACCCUGGUAGUCCACGCAGUAAACGAUGAUAACUGGGCGUAUGCGAUAUACAGUAUGCUCCUAAGCGAAAGCGUUAAGUUAUCCACCUGGGGAGUACGCCGGCAACGGUGAAACUCAAAGGAAUUGACGGGGGCCCGCACAAGCGGAGGAACAUGUGGUUUAAUUCGAUGAUACGCGAGGAACCUUACCCGGGAUUGAAAUGUAGAUGACAGGCGGUGAAAGCUGCUCUCCCUUCGGGGCAUCUA